AAAUGGAAAACAAAUAAGUUGUACUUAGUUUCGACCUAAGAUUAUGGUGCUGGCCCACCUCCAUUUA
This 67-nucleotide transfer RNA is filed under the name Xylosandrus morigerus. RNAcentral describes it as "tRNA-Arg". The record is from RNAcentral. Lineage: Eukaryota; Metazoa; Arthropoda; Insecta; Coleoptera; Curculionidae.